GCUUCUUUGUUGCCCUUCUGGAACUCAGACUCCCAACUCUCUGGAGUGAGUUAGGUGGAGUUCUGGAACGUUUUGCAAGACGAAGAUAGCUUUCUCAUUCUGUCGCCUUCUUGCUCUGCUCUGACGCCCACCUGCUUGUUGCUUUCUGCUGGUGUCUCACCUUCUGCAGGCGAGGAGCACAUGAGAGUCGGGCUGGGUGAAACCGGGGCUCCAUCUGCCCGCACGCUUUCUGGGGAUGUCUGAAGCUGGGACAACUAAGGCCCCAAGAGGAGAAAGGCACCCUCUGGGGCAGAGAGGCCAUUGAGUCAGAGCCAGGACCAAUAUCUCACCAGCUUUUCUUCUUCAACGCUGACCCCCGCUCACCAACAGUGGCUUCCUGAAUUGCUGGGUUAAGCAGGAUUCUGAGGGCCUUUGCAUAUGCUGUUUCUGGUGCCCAUGCCCCACCGACUCCACGCCCAGUUCACUGGAUUAACCCUCUUUUAUUCUUCAGGUAUCAUUUCCAUUGUCUUUUCCUCAGGGCGACCUUUUCCCAGAAGCGCAGCAGCUUAGUGGCUAGGGCUUGUGAUACCUUUAGGGGCCCAGAAAAAAGGCUUAAUUUCUUUAAAAAUCAGAAGAAGAAGAACGUGACUAUAAUAAUGACUGUAUUAUGAUGAAUCCAACCUGGAUUUAUACCAACAGGGUUGCAAAAUGUAAUUUUUUUAAAUGAGAAAAAGCCACCUCUCCCAACCCCUCUGCAAGACAAAGACCUUUUCUGGACUCCCCCUAACCCACCAGCACUGCUAGUCUGGUCUUCCCUAAGUAAGAGGCUUUCAUUGUGCCCUGAACUCUUCUGCCUAGACAUGUACUAUGGCUGUAACUUGACAUUUGCCCCCUAAACCUCAAGCUGGAU
This 889-nucleotide long non-coding RNA is filed under the name Callithrix jacchus (white-tufted-ear marmoset). Its description in RNAcentral is "lncRNA (ENSCJAG00000075036.1)". Lineage: Eukaryota; Metazoa; Chordata; Mammalia; Primates; Cebidae. The record is from RNAcentral.